UUCCAGACUUACACAUGCAAGUCUCCGCAGUCCAGUGAAAACGCCCUUAAAACCUACACCAGGUCAAGGAGCCGGCAUCAGGCACAGCAAAUCUUGCCCACAACGCCUAGUUUCACCACACCUCCAAAGGUAUUCAGCAGUGAUUAAGAUUGUCAAUAAGCGCCAGCUUGAAUCAGUUAAGGAAAAUAGAGCCGGCCAAUCCGGUGCCAGCCGCCGCGGCUAUACCGUGAGGCUCAAGUUGAUAUUAAUCGGCGUCAAGCGUGAUUAAAGAAAUAUAGAAAUUAGAAUUGAAUUUAGACUUAGCAGUUUAAAGCUUGUCCUCAAGAAACCCACAAACGAAAGUUAUUCUAAUAUAUCUUGACUACACGACAGUUUGGGCACAAACUGGGAUUAGAUACCCCACUAUGCCAAACCGUAAAAUUAACCAACACAUAACACGCCAGGGUACUACGAGCCUAGCUUAAAACCCAAAGGACUUGACGGUGUUCUGCCCAACUAGAGGAGCCUGUUCUGUAAUCGAUAGCCCACGAUAUACCUAACCAUUUUUUGCUAAUCAGCCUGUAUACCUCCGUCGUAAGUUUACCAUGUGAAUGAAGUAGUGGACACAAUGACUCACCGCCAAAACGUCAGGUCAAGGUGCAGCCUAUGAAAUGGAAGAAAUGAGCUACAAUUUCUAAUAUAGAACAUACGAAUUACUAUAUGAAAUAUAGUCAUGAAGGUGGAUUUAGAAGUAAGUGGGGAAUAGAGAGCCCCACUAAACAUGGCCCAAGAACGCGUACAAACCGCCCGUCACCCUCUUCGAUAGCCUUAAUCAAGAUACAUAACACACUAUCCGCGACUUAGAAGAGGCAAGUCGUAACAUGGUAAGUAUACUGGAAAGUGUACUUGGACUAA
This 894-nucleotide non-coding RNA is filed under the name Polypedates otilophus (Bongon whipping frog). RNAcentral describes it as "partial 12S rRNA". It matches the Rfam family "Bacterial small subunit ribosomal RNA". The record is from RNAcentral. Lineage: Eukaryota; Metazoa; Chordata; Amphibia; Anura; Rhacophoridae.